UUUUGUAGAAUGAACCGGCGAGUUACGAUUUGAUGCAAGGUUAAGCAGUAAAUGUGGAGCCGUAGCGAAAGCGAGUCUGAAUAGGGCGUUUAGUAUUUGGUCGUAGACCCGAAACCAGGUGAUCUACCCUUGGUCAGGUUGAAGUUCAGGUAACACUGAAUGGAGGACCGAACCGACUUACGUUGAAAAGUGAGCGGAUGAACUGAGGGUAGCGGAGAAAUUCCAAUCGAACCUGGAGAUAGCUGGUUCUCUCCGAAAUAGCUUUAGGGCUAGCCUCAAGUGAUGAUUAUUGGAGGUAGAGCACUGUUUGGACGAGGGGCCCCUCUCGGGUUACCGAAUUCAGACAAACUCCGAAUGCCAAUUAAUUUAACUUGGGAGUC
Molecule: ribosomal RNA, 380 nt
Filed under: Staphylococcus aureus
Lineage: Bacteria; Bacillati; Bacillota; Bacilli; Caryophanales; Staphylococcaceae
Description: partial 23S ribosomal RNA
Rfam family: Bacterial large subunit ribosomal RNA
Source: RNAcentral